CUGCCAGACUCCUACGGGAGGCAGCAGUGGGGAAUAUUGCGCAAUGGGGGGAACCCUGAUGCAGCGACGCCGCGUGAGUGAAGAAGUAUUUCGGUAUGUAAAGCUCUGUCAGCAGGGAAGAAGAAAGACGGUACCUGACCAAGAAGCCCCGGCUAACUACGUGCCAGCAGCCGCGGUAAUACGUAGGGGGCAAGCGUUAUCCGGAUUUACUGGGUGUAAAGGGAGCGUAGACGGAGAAGCAAGUUAGUUGUGAAAUCCCUCGGCUUAACUGAGGAACUGCAACUAAAACUACUUCCCUUGAGUACUGGAGAGGAAAGUGGAAUUCCUAGUGUAUCGGUGAAAUGCGUAGAUAUUAGGAGGAACACCAGUGGCGAAGGCGACUUUCUGGACAGUAACUGACGUUGAGGCACGAAAGUGUGGGGAGCAAACAGGCUUAGAUACCCUGGUAA
Molecule: ribosomal RNA, 449 nt
Filed under: uncultured bacterium
Lineage: Bacteria
Description: bacterial SSU rRNA
Rfam family: Bacterial small subunit ribosomal RNA
Source: RNAcentral